This 402-nucleotide ribosomal RNA is filed under the name Bacteroidota bacterium. RNAcentral's name for it is "Bacteroidetes bacterium partial 16S ribosomal RNA". It matches the Rfam family "Bacterial small subunit ribosomal RNA", at positions 355 to 776 of the family's 1533-position model. Lineage: Bacteria; Pseudomonadati; Bacteroidota. The record is from RNAcentral.
UGGGGAAUUUUGCACAAUGGGGGAAACCCUGAUGCAGCGACGCCGCGUGAUUUAGAAGGCCUUCGGGUUGUAAAAAUCUUUUCUAUGGGAAGAAAAUGACAGUACCAUAGGAAUAAGGACCGGCUAAUUACGUGCCAGCAGCCGCGGUAAUACGUAAGGUCCGAGCGUUGUCCGGAAUCAUUGGGCGUAAAGGGUACGUAGGCGGGUAAGCAAGUUAGAAGUGAAAUCCUGUAGCUCAACUACAGUAAGCUUUUAAAACUGCUCAUCUUGAGAUAUGGAAGGGAAAGUGGAAUUCCUAGUGUAGCGGUGAAAUGCGCAGAUAUUAGGAGGAAUACCGGUGGCGAAGGCGACUUACUGGCCAUAAUCUGACGCUGAGGUACGAAAGCGUGGGUAGCAAACAGG